GUUUUGAUUUUAGCUUCCCUAGUAUGUCCUUGCCUAACCUUUCCCUGUCUGUGCAUGUAGGAAAGUUCAGUUGAGGAAGACACUGAAACAGGUUUAGCUCUUUGGAGCUAAUAGCUCAUGGCAUGCUGUUUCUGGGCAGCCGUCCCCAUUAUCAGAACUCAGGACAGUAGCAUCAACAGUGGUCAUCCUCAUCUUACCUAUCUGCUGCCUGUUUUCUAUCCUUGUUUCUGAAUAGUCCCCUGCUGGAACAAGUUGCCCCCACCUGCCCUUUUUCCCUCGUGGUGCAUCUGUGAUCAAAAGGUUCUGACUGAAGAAUGAAAAAUGUGCUAGGUGGAAUCUUUUCUUUUUUAAACUGGCUUACCCCUUUUCCCGCCCUUUUUCAAUUUUAUAGGGAAAAAACCCAUAGAGGAUCCAGCAAACGAUACAGUGGAUUUCCCUAAAAGAACGAGUCCAGCUCGAGGCUAUGAGCUCUUAUUUCAGCCAGAGGUGGUUCGGAUAUACAUCUCACUUCUUAAGGAGAGCAAGACUCCUGCCAUCCUAGAAGCCUCAGCUGGAGCUAUCCAGAACUUGUGUGCUGGGCGCUGGACGGUACCUUUUAGAAAAUGAGUUUGGAGAUGGGAAAACUUAGAUAACUAGUUUGCUGCCAUUUGUAAUUUCUUCCACCCCUUUCUAUGUGCUAUUCUAGUAUGGUCGAUACAUCCGCUCUGCUCUGCGUCAAGAGAAGGCUCUUUCUGCCAUAGCUGACCUCCUGACUAAUGAACAUGAACGGGUGGUGAAAGCUGCAUCUGGAGCACUGAGAAACCUGGCUGUGGAUGCUCGCAACAAAGAAUU
RNAcentral lists this small RNA (831 nucleotides) under Pongo abelii (Sumatran orangutan). Its description in RNAcentral is "retained intron". The record is from RNAcentral. Lineage: Eukaryota; Metazoa; Chordata; Mammalia; Primates; Hominidae.